RNAcentral lists this ribosomal RNA (576 nucleotides) under uncultured eukaryote. Its description in RNAcentral is "SSU rRNA". It matches the Rfam family "Eukaryotic small subunit ribosomal RNA", at positions 174 to 758 of the family's 1831-position model. The record is from RNAcentral.
UAAAAACCCCGACUUCGGAAGGGGUGUAUUUAUUAGACACAAAACCAAUGCCCUUCGGGGCUCUUUGGUGAUUCAUGAUAACUAUACGAAUCGCACGGCCUUGCGCCGGCGAUGGUUCAUUCAAAUUUCUUCCCUAUCAACUUUCGAUGUUUGGGUAUUGGCCAAACAUGGUUGCAACGGGUAACGGAGGGUUAGGGCUCGACCCCGGAGAAGGAGCCUGAGAAACGGCUACUACAUCCAAGGAAGGCAGCAGGCGCGCAAAUUACCCAAUCCCGACUCGGGGAGGUAGUGACAAUAAAUACUGAUACAGGGCCCUUUCGGGCCUUGUAAUUGGAAUGAGUACAAUUUAAAUCCCUUAACGAGGAACAAUUGGAGGGCAAGUCUGGUGCCAGCAGCCGCGGUAAUUCCAGCUCCAAUAGCGUAUAUUAAAGUUGUUGUGGUUAAAAAGCUCGUAGUUGAACCUUGGGCCUGGCUGGCCGGUCCGCCUCACCGCGUGCACUGGUCCGGCCGGGCCUUUCCCUCUGUGGAACCCCAUACCCUUCACUGGGCGUGGCGGGGAAACAGGACAUUUACUUU